Molecule: long non-coding RNA, 569 nt
Organism: Galleria mellonella (greater wax moth)
Lineage: Eukaryota; Metazoa; Arthropoda; Insecta; Lepidoptera; Pyralidae
Exons: 3
Source: RefSeq, a predicted model, not a curated record
UCGUGUGAGUUUACAAACCACUCGUUUCGAGGACAAUCUGUUUUUUUUUUGUAAAGUUUCCAAUUACCUAAAUAUUUACUAAUGUCAAAAUGUGAUUAUGUUUGUGUGUUACUUUUGGCGUUUUAACGGCUCUAUUUAUCAUCAUAAAAUUUAUACUAUUUCGCGUGAAGAAUAACAGCGGCGGUUUAGGUCUACUCGUCGGUGCGUCGGAGUCGGUUGGCCCUUCUUUUGGGGACAUCGGUGACAGCGGUGUGGCGGCGUGGUCGCGGUACAAUCGCAGUCGCACCUCCGAGCCGCAUGCACGCAGAAACGCGACGGCCUCCCCAUGCGACAUGUUCGACAUUGAAGUGUCGUUGACCUGUGUGUUUGUUUUGUGAGGUCAAUACACGACGGAUGUCUCGCGAGAUGAAUUACCCACCUUUUAUGUCAUAGGCUGUAUCCUGCCGUCGCUGAGCGCCGGCUCCCGAACUAGCGCUCGCACGUAAUGCCCGAGCGCGCUGUGGUCCUCCUUGCGUAACGUGAAUCCAAGCGAGCCGUUCACCUUAGUCAUGACUAUGUCGAAUUCCUGC